This 484-nucleotide ribosomal RNA is filed under the name uncultured bacterium. Its description in RNAcentral is "partial 16S ribosomal RNA". It matches the Rfam family "Bacterial small subunit ribosomal RNA", at positions 30 to 507 of the family's 1533-position model. The record is from RNAcentral.
AUUGAACGCUGGCGGCAGGCCUAACACAUGCAAGUCGAACGGCUGCACAGAACUUGCUCGCUGAUUCGGCUGGCGACUGGUGGGUGGUUCCUAGGAAUCUCCCUGUCUACUGUUUCUAAGGUCAGAACGCGGGCGCUCUUACCCCAUUAGUGCUGAGGACGAACGGGGGGAAUCUUCGGACCUCCCGCUCUCGGAUGAUCCUAGGUCGGAUUAGCUAGUUGGCGGGGUAAAGGCCUACCAAGGCGACGAUCCGUAGCUGGUCUGAGAGGAUGAUCAGUCACACUGGAACUGAGACACGGUCCAGACUCCUACGGGAGGCAGCAGUGGGGAAUAUUGGACAAUGGGCGAAAGCCUGAUCCAGCCAUGCCGCGUGGGUGAAGAAGGUCUUCGGAUUGUAAAGCACUUUAAGUGGGGAGGAAGGGCAGUAAGUUAAUACCUCGCUGUUUUGACGGUACCAAAAGAAUAAGCACCGGCUAACUUCGUG